UGCGGAAUUUUGGACAAUGGGCGCAAGCCUGAUCCAGCAAUGCCGCGUGCAGGAUGAAGGCCUUCGGGUUGUAAACUGCUUUUGUACGGAACGAAACGGCUCUGGUUAAUACCUGGGGCUAAUGACGGCACCGUAGGAAUAAGCACCGGCUAACUACGUGCCAGCAGCCGCGGUAAUACGUAGGGUGCGAGCGUUAAUCGGAAUUACUGGGCGUAAAGCGUGCGCAGGCGGUGAUGUAAGACAGAUGUGAAAUCCCCGGGCUCAACCUGGGACCUGCAUUUGUGACUGCAUCGCUGGAGUGCGGCAGAGGGGGAUGGAAUUCCGCGUGUAGCAGUGAAAUGCGUAGAUAUGCGGAGGAACACCGAUGGCGAAGGCAGCCUCCUGGGCCAGUACUGACGCUCAUGCACGAAAGCGUGGGGAGCAAACA
This 427-nucleotide ribosomal RNA is filed under the name uncultured bacterium. Its description in RNAcentral is "bacterial SSU rRNA". It matches the Rfam family "Bacterial small subunit ribosomal RNA", at positions 355 to 774 of the family's 1533-position model. The record is from RNAcentral.